Molecule: ribosomal RNA, 463 nt
Filed under: uncultured bacterium
Lineage: Bacteria
Description: partial 16S ribosomal RNA
Rfam family: Bacterial small subunit ribosomal RNA
Source: RNAcentral
GAUGAACGCUGACAGAAUGCUUAACACAUGCAAGUCUUUGGCGAAGCUGUGCUCGCACAGCCUAGCCAAGGCGGACGGGUGAGUAACGCGUAAGGAACUUGCCCUGCAGUCAGGGAUAACAGACGGAAACGACUGAUAAGACCUGGUAAAGUCAGGCGGACUCAUGUCCAGCCUGAUGAAAAGAGAUGUUGCAGGAGAGCCUUGCGUCCUAUUAGCUUGUUGGUGGGGUAACGGCCCACCAAGGCGAUGAUAGGUAGCCGGCCUGAGAGGGUGGACGGCCACAAGGGGACUGAGAUACGGCCCUGACUCCUACGGGAGGCAGCAGUGGGGAAUAUUGGACAAUGGGGGCAACCCUGAUCCAGCAAUUCUGUGUGCACGAUGAAGGUUUUCGGAUUGUAAAGUGCUUUCAGCAGGGAAGAAAAAAAUGACGGUACCUGCAGAAGAAGCGACGGCUAAAUACGUG